Molecule: transfer RNA, 76 nt
Filed under: Bacteroidia bacterium
Lineage: Bacteria; Pseudomonadati; Bacteroidota; Bacteroidia
Description: tRNA-Thr
Rfam family: tRNA
About the family: Transfer RNA (tRNA) molecules are approximately 80 nucleotides in length. Their secondary structure includes four short double-helical elements and three loops (D, anti-codon, and T loops). Further hydrogen bonds mediate the characteristic L-shaped molecular structure. tRNAs have two regions of fundamental functional importance: the anti-codon, which is responsible for specific mRNA codon recognition, and the 3' end, to which the tRNAs corresponding amino acid is attached (by aminoacyl-tRNA synthetases). tRNAs cope with the degeneracy of the genetic code in two manners: having more than one tRNA (with a specific anti-codon) for a particular amino acid; and 'wobble' base-pairing, i.e. permitting non-standard base-pairing at the 3rd anti-codon position.
Source: RNAcentral
GCCACUUUAGCUCAGUUGGUAGAGCAACUGAUUUGUAAUCAGUAGGUCGCUGGUUCGAGUCCGGCAAGUGGCUCCA